Molecule: ribosomal RNA, 253 nt
Filed under: uncultured bacterium
Lineage: Bacteria
Description: partial 16S ribosomal RNA
Rfam family: Bacterial small subunit ribosomal RNA
Source: RNAcentral
UACGGAGGGUGCGAGCGUUAUCCGGAUUUAUUGGGUUUAAAGGGUCCGUAGGCGGACUCGUAAGUCAGUGGUGAAAUCUCACAGCUUAACUGUGAAACUGCCGUUGAUACUGCGGGUCUUGAGUAAGGUAGAAGUGGCUGGAAUAAGUAGUGUAGCGGUGAAAUGCAUAGAUAUUACUUAGAACACCAAUUGCGAAGGCAGGUCACUAUGUCUUAACUGACGCUGAUGGACGAAAGCGUGGGGAGCGAACAGG